Brassica rapa (field mustard) is the source of this 825-nucleotide long non-coding RNA. RefSeq lists it as uncharacterized. The record is from RefSeq and is a predicted model, not a curated record. Lineage: Eukaryota; Viridiplantae; Streptophyta; Magnoliopsida; Brassicales; Brassicaceae.
CCUGCUCCUUUAUAUACUGUUCAUCUCUUUUGCGUGGAAACCAAAUCUCGAUGAUCUAACCAAAUCUCCUUUUACACUUCGUCUUCGUCUUAAAGCCACUUCCCCUUCCUCUUAUUUGUUCCCUCUUUCUUUUCAACUUCCUAUUUACUUCUAAUUGAUUUUUGUUUUGUUUACAGAUCUAAGAAGGAACCGGGAAGGAGAAGAAGUGGUGUUACAGAGCGGUGUCUCCGGCUUCUAAAAAAGGCAGAGUAGUCUGAAGAAGCUUGAUGGUCGUGGUCUCGGCGUCAACAAUGGUGGUCUCGGCGUCAACAGUGGUGGUCUCGACUUCGUUAAUGGUAGCUUAGCGCGGUGGAGGAGGCUGAAUAAGCUUACCUGUGGUGUUCUUGGCUGGUGGUCUCGGCCUCAGGCGGAGUAGGCUGAAGAAGCUUGAUGGUCGUGGUCUCGGCGUCAACAAUGGUGGUCUCGACUUCGUCAAUGGUAGCUUAGCGCGGUGGAGGAGGCUGAAUAAGCUUACCUGUGGUGUUCUUGGCUGGUGGUCUCCGCCUCAGAGAUGAACAAACCGAAGGAGCUGAAGUUGACGGCGAAGGAGAUGAAGUUGACGGAAAAAAGUUUAGAUGUAGGGUUAAUUUUUUUUAAUUAGGUUACACUUUUUAGGUUUAUAUUUCCAAACCGGGUUUUGUAAACCAGAAUUAAUUAUAUUUGGUGGUUUAAUUUUUAAUUAAUUUAGACAUGAUUUUGCACGCAAUCCAAGGCACAUCCACGGGACCGUGACAUGUUUUCUGAUGUUAACUAUUUGCAAAAAGACAUUGUGCGUGUGUACAUUUU